This 86-nucleotide transfer RNA is filed under the name Glaciimonas sp. RNAcentral's name for it is "tRNA-Tyr". It matches the Rfam family "tRNA". From Rfam's summary of the family: Transfer RNA (tRNA) molecules are approximately 80 nucleotides in length. Their secondary structure includes four short double-helical elements and three loops (D, anti-codon, and T loops). The record is from RNAcentral. Lineage: Bacteria; Pseudomonadati; Pseudomonadota; Betaproteobacteria; Burkholderiales; Oxalobacteraceae.
GGAGGGGUGGUCGAGUGGUUAAUGGCAGCAGACUGUAAAUCUGCCCUCUUGCGAGUUCGCUGGUUCGAAUCCAGCUCCCUCCACCA